GACGAACGCUGGCGGCGUGCUUAACACAUGCAAGUCGAACGGAAAGGCCCUGCUUGCCGGGUACUCGAGUGGCGAACGGGUGAGUAACACGUGGGUGAUCUGCCCUGCACUUCGGGAUAAGCCUGGGAAACUGGGUCUAAUACCGGAUAGGAGCCAUUUUUAGUGUGAUGGUUGGAAAGUUUUUUCGGUGUAGGAUGAGCUCGCGGCCUAUCAGCUUGUUGGUGGGGUAAUGGCCUACCAAGGCGGCGACGGGUAGCCGGCCUGAGAGGGUGGACGGCCACAUUGGGACUGAGAUACGGCCCAGACUCCUACGGGAGGCAGCAGUGGGGAAUAUUGCACAAUGGGCGAAAGCCUGAUGCAGCGACGCCGCGUGGGGGAUGACGGCCUUCGGGUUGUAAACUCCUUUCGCUAGGGACGAAGCUUUUUGUGACGGUACCUAGAUAAGAAGCACCGGCUAACUACG
RNAcentral lists this ribosomal RNA (463 nucleotides) under uncultured bacterium. RNAcentral describes it as "partial 16S ribosomal RNA". It matches the Rfam family "Bacterial small subunit ribosomal RNA", at positions 28 to 505 of the family's 1533-position model. The record is from RNAcentral.